Molecule: ribosomal RNA, 253 nt
Filed under: uncultured bacterium
Lineage: Bacteria
Description: partial 16S ribosomal RNA
Rfam family: Bacterial small subunit ribosomal RNA
Source: RNAcentral
UACAGAGGUCUCAAGCGUUGUUCGGAUUCAUUGGGCGUAAAGGGCGCGUAGGCGGCGACCCAAGUCAGAUGUGAAAGUCCUGGGCUUAACCUGGGGACUGCAUUUGAUACUGGGUUGCUUGAAUUCGGGAGAGGAUAGCGGAAUUCCGAGUGUAGAGGUGAAAUUCGUAGAUAUUCGGAAGAACACCAGUGGCGAAGGCGACUUACUGGACACAUAUUGACGCUGAGGUGCGAAAGCGUGGGGAGCAAACAGG